UACGGGGGGGGCAAGCGUUGUUCGGAAUUAUUGGGCGUAAAGAGCUCGUAGGCGGUUUGUCGCGUCUGCUGUGAAAGACCGGGGCUCAACUCCGGUUCUGCAGUGGGUACGGGCAGACUAGAGUGCAGUAGGGGAGACUGGAAUUCCUGGUGUAGCGGUGAAAUGCGCAGAUAUCAGGAGGAACACCGAUGGCGAAGGCAGGUCUCUGGGCUGUAACUGACGCUGAGGAGCGAAAGCAUGGGGAGCGAACAGG
Molecule: ribosomal RNA, 253 nt
Filed under: uncultured bacterium
Lineage: Bacteria
Description: partial 16S ribosomal RNA
Rfam family: Bacterial small subunit ribosomal RNA
Source: RNAcentral